This 1346-nucleotide unclassified non-coding RNA is filed under the name uncultured Neocallimastigales. RNAcentral describes it as "partial contains internal transcribed spacer 1, 5.8S ribosomal RNA, internal transcribed spacer 2, and large subunit ribosomal RNA". The stretch from base 570 to 1346 matches the Rfam family "Eukaryotic large subunit ribosomal RNA", at positions 1 to 630 of the family's 3401-position model. Lineage: Eukaryota; Fungi; Neocallimastigomycota; Neocallimastigomycetes; Neocallimastigales. The record is from RNAcentral.
UUUGAAUAAUUUUUUUUCCAAAAAAAAAUUAUUGAAUGUCUUUCCCUGUUUUGGUGGAGCUUGUAAAGUGAAACCAGGCAGGGGAAUGGCAAACAAUAAUUAUUUUUUGAAAAAAGACCUUUUUUAAAAUUAAACUUUUUGUAUUCAUUUGUCUAAAAUUAUUUUUAUAAUAUAAAAACAACUUUUGACAAUGGAUCUCUUGGUUCUCGCAACGAUGAAGAACGCAGCAAAAUGCGAUAAGUAGUGUGAAUUGCAGAAUACGUGAAUCAUCGAAUCUUCGAACGCAUAUUGCACUUUUUUAGUUUACUAAAAAAGUAUGUCUGUUUGAGUAUCAGUAAAAUAUUCUCAUAAAAAACAUUGUUUUUUUAUGGUUAUGAGUGUUUUACAACGAUAACAAGUUGUUUCACUUCAAAUUCUUUGUUAUCAAAAAAAUCAUUAAAAGCUAAUUUUAAAGAUUUUUUAAAUUGGAUAAAAUUUUCCCGUAAAAAGGAAUAACCUAAACAAUUUUAAAAAAUUAAAAUUGGUUUGAUUUUUUUGAAACCCAAAGGAAAAAAAAAACGAAAUUAACUUGAUCUCAAAUCAGAUAAGAGUACCCGCUGAACUUAAGCAUAUCAAUAAGCGGAGGAAAAGAAACUAACUAGGACUCCUCAGUAACGGCGAGUGAAGCGGGAAGAGCUCAAAUUUGAAAUCUUCAAGGUUUUACCUUGACGAAUUGUAGUUUAAAGAAGUGUUUUCUGUUGGAGUUUUGGUAAAAGUUCUUUGGAAAAGGACAUCAUAGAGGGUGAGAAUCCCGUAUUUGACCAUUAUCUCCAGCUUUGUGAUACACUUUCAAAGAGUCGGAUUGUUUGGGAAUGCAGUCCAAAAUGGGUGGUAAAUUUCAUCUAAAGCUAAAUACUGGCGAGAGACCGAUAGCGAACAAGUACCGUGAGGGAAAGAUGAAAAGAACUUUGAAAAGAGAGUUAAACAGUACGUGAAAUUGUCAAAAGGGAAGCGUUUGACACCAGUGUUGUUUUCUCGAAAAUCAAUUAAAAAAGGCCGGAUUUUGUGUUGUAUUGACUUUAUCAGCUUUCUGCACUUUUUUCUUGUCUUUUUUAAUGCACUUUUCGUUUAACAAGUCAACAUCAAUUUCUUUGUUGUAAAAGGGUCAUUGGAAGGUGGCUUUCUUUUCGGAGAAAGUGUUUAUAGCCUUUGGCCUCUGCAAUCGGAGAGAUUGAGGUCUGCAGCGUAGAUCCUUCGGGUUAGAUACAUUUGUGCUAAGUUAUAGCCUUUCAUAGACAACUUGUUGACUAUGAUCAGUCAUGUAGCUUACUCGCUGAUGCUAUUUUACCUACGCUUAGGAUGUUGAA